Molecule: ribosomal RNA, 282 nt
Filed under: uncultured prokaryote
Description: partial 16S ribosomal RNA
Rfam family: Bacterial small subunit ribosomal RNA
Source: RNAcentral
GUGUCAGCCGCCGCGGUAAUACUGAGGGUGCAAGCGUUAAUCGGAAUUACUGGGCGUAAAGCGCGCGUAGGCGGUUUGUUAAGUCAGAUGUGAAAUCCCUGGGCUCAACCUGGGAACUGCAUUUGAUACUGGCAGGCUAGAGUAUGGUAGAGGGAAGUGGAAUUCCGGGUGUAGCGGUGAAAUGCGUAGAUAUCCGGAGGAACAUCAGUGGCGAAGGCGACUUCCUGGACCAAUACUGACGCUGAGGUGCGAAAGCGUGGGGAGCAAACAGGAUUAGAAACC